CCUACGGGAUGCAGCAGUGGGGGAUAUUGCACAAUGGGGGGAACCCUGAUGCAGCGACGCCGCGUGGGUGAAGGAGUGCUUCGGCAUGUAAAGCCCUAUCGGCAGGGAAGAAGCAAGACGGUACCUGACUAAGAAGCCCCGGCUAACUACGUGCCAGCAGCCGCGGUAAUACGUAGGGGGCGAGCGUUAUCCGGAUGCACUGGGGGGAAAUGGAGCGUAGACGGCCAUGCAAGCCAGGGGUGAAAGCCCGGGGCCCAACCCCGGGACUGCCCUUGGAACUGUGCGGCUAGAGUGCGGGAGGGGCAGGCGGAAGUCCUGGUGUAGCAGUGAAAUGCGUAGAUAUCGGGAGGAACACCGGCGGCGAAGGCGGCCUGCUGGACCGCGACUGACGUUGAGGCUCGAAAGCGUGGGGAGCGAACAGGAUUAGAUACCCCUGUAGUC
This 441-nucleotide ribosomal RNA is filed under the name uncultured bacterium. RNAcentral's name for it is "partial 16S ribosomal RNA". It matches the Rfam family "Bacterial small subunit ribosomal RNA", at positions 338 to 795 of the family's 1533-position model. The record is from RNAcentral.